Molecule: long non-coding RNA, 207 nt
Filed under: Mytilus galloprovincialis (Mediterranean mussel)
Lineage: Eukaryota; Metazoa; Mollusca; Bivalvia; Mytilida; Mytilidae
Source: RNAcentral
CUCUUACCUUUUCUUAUAGCUACAUUGCAUUCGGAACCCAUCUGUAAAACUGGUAAACAAAAACAGGAAAGCAGUUUAGUCAAACGGAGUUAUGGAACAUAGCGAAAGACCACGCAGAUGGCGCUGUAUUUUCACUUCCGUGAAUCGAGGUUCAAACGGACGACAAUUGUAGAACAAAAUCAGUAAAACAAGACACAAAACCGCCGC